Non-coding RNA from Sinorhizobium sp. RAC02, 122 nucleotides. NCBI's taxonomy places the organism in Bacteria, Pseudomonadati, Pseudomonadota, Alphaproteobacteria, Hyphomicrobiales, Rhizobiaceae. The record is from Rfam.
AAAUCUGACGGCAAACAUUCUUGUGGUGGGAACGCGCAUGGGCAGGGUGGUGUAACCACCCGGCGAAAGCACCCAUGCGCGGUAAGCAGGCUCCUCCAAGGGGCCUUUUUUUAUGCCCAGAA